Molecule: long non-coding RNA, 2220 nt
Organism: Spinacia oleracea (spinach)
Lineage: Eukaryota; Viridiplantae; Streptophyta; Magnoliopsida; Caryophyllales; Amaranthaceae
Exons: 3
Source: RefSeq, a predicted model, not a curated record
CCAGUUUCUCUCUCCUCCAUUUUCACUUUCUGUCUCCUUCGUGAUUCUCUCUCCUCCGUUUUCGCUCUCCCUUCGUGAUUCCCUCUCCUCGCCGCCACCGUGUCUCCCCCACCUGCUGCAACCACCGCGCCGCCACCGUCUCUACGCUUACGUCCUCUGUAUAUGCGUCUUCUCCUCUAUUCUAUUGCAAUUGAAUGAAUAUCUGUGACAGUUUGGCAGUUAUAUCUCGCACAUUUUAAGAGAUCUGAGAAUCAAAAUGAAGGUCAAAUUAUAUCAUCAUUUACAGGAGAAUCAGCAAUAGGAGGUUGUUCCUGUUGCUGAAGCUGGCCAUCUUUAUCUUCCUGCACAACUGUUGUCAGAUUUGGAGACGGGGUUUCGACAACAAGAGGAGGUGGAAGUUGUUCAUCAUUAACUUCCUGGACAAAUGAUGUCGUAUUUGGAGGCAGAAAUUCAACAACAGAGGGUGGUGGGAAUUCGGAAUCUGACGACAGCAAUGGCGAAGUUGUAGGAUUUGAUGUUGUAUUUACAUCAACCUCCUUCAAUAAACUGACAGAAGGGGUUGGAAAAUCAUUAACCGACAACGGAUUCGUCGUGGUUCUGGUUGUUGAAUUAAGGUUAAUAAUCCUAAGGUACUCAAAGUUAUUAGUCUGUUGUGGGUACUUAAUGUAAAGCAGAGAGAAGAAGGAAAUUGCAAAGAAAGCCGUAAUCAAGUAAAUUGAUGCAAAGGAUGAAGGAAAGGAAGAGAAACACUUCCGGUUUGAGCUCGACAUUUUGUGCUCUAUGAGAAGAACAGGAGAAGAAGAGAAGAAAGGUAAGGUUCAGUCAAGAAACCUGCAUUAUGUUUCUUGGUUGAUUAUGAACCUUAAUUCCUUUUUUAAAUGGUAAUUUAUUUUUAUAAGUAAUUUUUGCAAUUGAUUUGACAGAGUGUACAGGAAUAUGUCCUUUGAAGAUUAUCCAAGCAUGAUAUAAUUGGUUAAUAUAACUCUAAUUCAUGGAAACCAUGGUAUUUAUAUAUUGACUUGUAUCCACUGACUUUAACUUUAGCUGGGAGAGAAUUACACUCUAUUGUUUUUAAUAUUUACAUUUGCUUCUUUCCAUUACUAUUAAUGGUUUCUGUAAUUUUUGUUAGAGUUGUCUAGAGAUGCAUUGUAUUCAGAAGGUUACCAUGUUAUUGGAGGCUAUUUAUCCCCUGUGAACGAUGCAUAUAAGAAGGUAUGCAUCAUAUUUGUUGAUUAUGCCUACAACCUUGGGAUAUCUAGAUUGUUAUUGUAUGACUUAUUGGCUAACUCCAUGCAUAACAGUGAGAUGAAUUUACAUGAUUUAUUAGACAUUAAAUGGCUGCCUGUUUGUCAAUAAAGUUCCAAUUUUAUGUUGUAUGUGCAUAUGGAUCCUGUCGAGUAUGAAAGUAAACAUUGCAAGUAUCACAGGUUACCAAUAUUAGAAAAAUUAGAGGCAAUUUGAACAUGAAAGAUAAGAAAUAUCAAUUCAUUGUAACUUGGAGCAAUUUGAACAUGAAAUGUAAGAAGUAUGCAAUCUGAGUUUGCAACAAAUUAGAGUCCAACCCAGUAACAUAAAGGAGAAACAAAAACAAAAGCAUUCUCUACUCUGGUAUUAAAAGGCCCAUCUACUUGAGAUAACCUUUGGGAAGAAAUGUGGGAAUUAAAUGAGUGUGCAUUAACUAAGAUAGACCAGUCAUGACUCAUGAAGCAGCUAAGAGUUUCUUAUCUCUGCCUAGUCAAUUCCGUCGGCUGCAGGAGUUUCUCUGGACAUUUCGGUUUCCUACUACCAAAAGGCUACCACACUUGAUGCUGCCCUGCAUAAGAUAAUGUAGCUCUGAAGAACUUUAAUCUGCCUUCAGAAAGGAGUCCAAAAUGUGUUUACCUGUGGACAAUUUGGUAUUUUAGCCGUUUUUAGUAGUCUAACUGCAAUGAUAAACCGCGCUGAAGCUUGGAACACUAGCAAAUGAAGCAUCGUGUUGAGAUUGAUUCCCAGAACAGCUUUUGUUCAGAAUUUUGCGAGGCGCCUAUAUAUUUCAUCGAUAUGUUCAGAUGAUCGUAAUUAUAGUAUUAACCACUUUACUCGACUGUUGUCAUCGGUUAUCGGUUGGGUGGAUUAUUUGUCCUAAAAGGGUGCAUCCCUUGUUGAAAUGUUACAACUGUGAACAUAUACAUCAUACCUUUCAAAAUUAUUAUUUUUCAUUUUUGUUAGAAAUGAAGAUUA